Molecule: non-coding RNA, 1282 nt
Organism: Pseudopodoces humilis (Tibetan ground-tit)
Lineage: Eukaryota; Metazoa; Chordata; Aves; Passeriformes; Paridae
Source: RefSeq, a predicted model, not a curated record
GUGAGGGUCAGGGUGAAGUGGCGGUGCUCGCGGAUCGGGCGCCUUCUCCACAGCGGCAGAGGCACGGAGCGUAACGGACAGAAGGAGUGCAGAAGCUGAAAGUAUGGAGAUGUAGUUGUUGAAGAUCCUCUUCACAAAAAGUAUGUGUCUGGCUGUGCCUAGUAAGUUCUUUAGAGGUGAGAUCUGGGGCAGGAAAAAUACCGAUUUGAUAAUUUAUGCGUAGCGAUUACUGUGCUGUGACUUGUCUUUUGAAAUCAAGGUAUCAGCUUGGAGGUUUAUUUUAAGGCAUGCUACAUUUUUACAUGUUUUCGGAGCAGAAAGGUAUAAUCAAGUGCAUUAAUGUGACUAGGAGGAGUUGGCUUUGGAUGUAGACACAUUCGAAAAUAUAAUCCACUAUCCCUAGCUUAAAGUACACAUUGCCAGUACUUUGCCUGCCGAACUAGCAGCAUCUGAAUGCAGAAAUUUCUCCCGGAUAUUCUGUGCAAGGGGAGUGUCUUUUUCAAUAAACAUGUGAGUACUAAGAGAAAUGUGCAGUUGCAGGAGCCGGUGGAAGUUAAUAUCAGCAGCUUUACAACUCCUGGGAAAGCAUCCUGUUGUUUAGUGAUGGUUGCUGUCUUGUUUGUGUUUCGAGUAGCAUUAUUAAACUGCCUCAAACUUGUUUUUACAGGGGAAAAGCCCUCUUGAAAGAAGAUGGGGCUAAAUUGCACAUGUGAAUUCUAGGAGUAGCUGUGACUAAAUAUGUUAACUUUCAUUUAGGGUAGGGUGGAUGUGUUUAAUCAUCUGGAAUUGAUGCCUUUUGGGAGCAGUAAUAUUUCUGGUUGUGAGGUAGGGACUAGCGAAAGGUAAUUUUAGGCUAGGUCUUAACCUCGAUUUUUAAACCAAGUUAAAACUUGGAGCUUUGAUGAGAGCUUCUGCAUUCCAUCUGAUCUUGAUGAAGAGGGGCUGGAACCCAGCAUGCCUCGACUGGUUCUGUACAGACAGACGCAGUUAGGAUCUCAUUUUGUGCUGGUCCUCUUUUUGGGCUGUCACUAAGCCUUGAGGUACUUCAGCAAUGAUUUUGGUAGUUGAGUGGCUGUACUGCACCUUCAGGGAUGGCACCUCUGCUCUCAAAGUGUGUUAGAAAGGUGGUUGCAGUGAGUGUACCUCUGCUGCAGAAGCUGCAGGUAAGUUUCUGAAGUCUGGAAAAACGGAUGUUGAAACUACAGCUUAAAUUUUGGUGUCUGUGUGAAUGUAAAGCGUUUUAAUGUAUGAGUAAGUCAAUAAAGAGAGAUGAUUGGCUGCA